GGCGUAGGCGGCUCGUUAAGUCAGAUGUGAAAUCUCCCGGCUCAACUGGGAGGGUGCAUUUGAUACUGGCGGUCUAGAGUGCAGCAGAGGAAGAUGGAAUUCCCGGUGUAGUGGUGAAAUGCGUAGAUAUCGGGAAGAACACUAGUGGCGAAGGCGGUCUUCUGGGCUGUAACUGACGCUGAGGUCCGAAGGCGUGGGGAGCAAACAGGAUCAGAUACCCUGGUAGUCCACGCAGUAAACGAUGGAUACUAGGUAUGGGGAGUAUCGACCCUCUCCGUGCCGAAGCUAACGCUUUAGUAUCCCGCCUGGGAGUACGGUCGCAAGACUAAA
This 330-nucleotide ribosomal RNA is filed under the name uncultured bacterium. Its description in RNAcentral is "bacterial SSU rRNA". It matches the Rfam family "Bacterial small subunit ribosomal RNA", at positions 568 to 898 of the family's 1533-position model. The record is from RNAcentral.